GUAACGGCCUUUGGCGGGAAAGGCGACGGGGGCGGAGCCAGAUGAUGCGGAGCUGUUGCUCCGGAAACCUGGGCGUCUUCAGCGCUUGGGCUGGGCCGGCGGAGCUGCAGGCUUGAGUACUGGGAGCUUCUAGGAAGUGACCGGAUCACCAGAGCUCUGACCUACUCAGGGUAUUAUACCUUUGGUGUGUUCAAAAGGUGACGUCAUUCCUGGGAGGUGGUGAAAGCUGUGGGAAUGGUCAGUGUGACGCAGCCCAGGUGGAGGGCGGAGGACCAUUCUCUCUCUCUGUGAUGCCUCACAAUUGUUCUACUCAUCCUUAUCAGCUGGGAGCCUUCCAGAGACGCCUGUUAGAGGGAUGUGCAUUGUUACAGUGGACACUUGGGGCUGGGGACUCUUUCAAGCACAAAAGUAGAAAACACUACUGGAAUUUCAGGCCUUGAGACAAGCAAAUGGUCGCAGAAGAUGUCUUCCUGCAGGGGUAGGUCUUACCACAUUGUGUAGAAUAUAUUCAUCAGUAGUUCUGCACCACAGCCCUUGCCAAUGUGUGUUUCAGAUAUCUUCAUGUAACCCAUAACAAAUGUUAAACUCCAAAACUCUCAGAAUAAAGAGCAAAAACAUA
Peromyscus californicus insignis is the source of this 619-nucleotide long non-coding RNA. RefSeq lists it as uncharacterized. The record is from RefSeq and is a predicted model, not a curated record. The transcript is spliced from 4 exons. Lineage: Eukaryota; Metazoa; Chordata; Mammalia; Rodentia; Cricetidae.